Ctenopharyngodon idella (grass carp) is the source of this 5177-nucleotide long non-coding RNA. RefSeq lists it as uncharacterized. NCBI's taxonomy places the organism in Eukaryota, Metazoa, Chordata, Actinopteri, Cypriniformes, Xenocyprididae. The record is from RefSeq and is a predicted model, not a curated record. The transcript has 5 exons.
GGGAAAGUGAUCAUAAUUACAUGGGUUGAUGAUUUAAUUAUUGCAGCAAGCAAUCAAGAGAGACUGAAAGAAGUGAAAGAGAUGCUUGCAGAAAAAUUUAAAAUGAAAGAUCUGGGUGAACUCAAACAUUUUCUCGGUAUCGAUUUCAAUCAGUCAGAUGGGUGUGUAAAAAUGACACAGGAAAAGUACGCUAACAAGAUAUUACAGCGUUUUAAUAUGCAAGACUGUAGGACCAGAGAAACACCCUGUGAGCAAAAGUUAGAGUAUACUGGGAAUGCAGUAAAGAUGGAAGCUGUGGGAAGUCUUAUAUACCUGACUAUUUGCACCAGACCAGAUUUGAGUUUCGUUGAGCAGGUUAUCACAGUAUUUUGCUGAACCUACAGAGGAACAGUGGGUCACUGUGAAGCACGUACUUAGGUAUCUCAAAGGCACAGCAGAGAAAGGGUUAAGUUUUAGGAGAAACGACUGUGAGAAACUAGGUAUACAAGCCUACAGUGAUGCUGACUGGGCAGCUGAUACCAGUGACAGACGCAGUACUACGGGAUACUGUGUGAGUCUAAGCCAGAACAGCUCUCUAGUCUCGUGGAAGACUAGAAAGCAGCCAACUGUGGCGCUGUCCACAUGCGAAGCGGAAUAUAUGGCACUGGCUUCAACCAUACAAGAGUGUUUAUACCUAGAGCAGUUACUGGGAGGUAUAGAUAACUACAAGUACACAUAAACUGUAGUACAUGAGGACAAUCAGGGAACAAUCACUCUCGCCAAAAACCCUGUAAACAGACGGAGAUGCAAACACAUAGACAUAAAGUAUCGCUUUAUCAGGUCUAUUGUGAAUGAGGGAAGAGUGACCUUGAUGUAUUGUUCUACUGAUAACAUGAUUGCUGAUGUAAUGACCAAACCUGUAAGUAAGUUGAAACUGGAUAGGUUUGCAGGUGCUCUUUUUGGAGAUUGAUGUGUGUAUGACAGGGGUCCACAUUCAUUCUACCUUCUGUUUUUGUUUGUAUAGCAGCCUGAGUACAAGUGGGGGUGUUAAUAUAUGUUCAUUAUGUGCUCAGUUGUAUAUUGAUGUAAUGCUGUACUGUUCUGUAUUGCGCAUAUGUGUAUGCCACAAGGGGGCACUAAAGUAUAAGCUACAGAAGACGCGUUCGUGUUAUUAUGUUUGUCCCAGUUGAUUUACGGUUGUCUCUUACUGAAGGCUGUCUGACCGUGAGAAUGAUGUGUCGGCAGCUAGAAAAAUAAAUAUGCCAAGAACGGCUAAAGAUGAUUCAUCUCUAUCGUCCACUUUUUUCUCCGAAUGCAACACUAGCUGCAACAAUAGUGUAGUACAACUCAACAUAAGCUGUUUUAACUUUGUAUUUAGUGAUACUGUAUUAAGUGAACGAAAGAAUAGGCGACACAUUUUAACGUUAAACGUUGCGAUGGCGCGCCUGCCACAGACACAGCACCAGUCGGUUAAUGGCAUGUCGUUUAACUUAAUUUGCAUAUCUUAAUUUGUGAUCUUAAGAUGAACAAAGGUCUUAGGGGUGUAGAACUACAUGAGGGUGAGUAAUAAUUGACACAGUUUUAAUUUUUGGGUGAACUAACCCUUCCAUUUGUAAUUUUCCAUACCUGUCGUACUACAGUAGCCAUGUUGUAAUCACGUGAUCUACCAGAAUCAGUUUCGCAGCUUCACUACCGUUUCACAAAUCCUUUCCCAUGGCUUCAUGAGAUGGUAAAGUGUCCAUCAUAUGCAAACUUCAGAAUUUGGUUGGAAAAAGUGUGUCAUCUGGGUACUUUUUGCCUGCUCUUUAAUGAGUACUGUGAAUUGGGACAUACGACUUUUGUCACACAGGUGAGGUGAAUGGAUUAUUUUCACCAUACCCUCGUCGUUCAUUUGAUCAACUAAGAAGAACUGGGCAUUUCCUCCUUCACCAGCUCCUAGACAGAAGAAAAAGUGUGUGACAUACACGCAUAGAUUCUUUUGUCCGGCCAAAAGGAAAGAUUCAGAAAUCCCGAAGGUGGCUAAAAAAAUUUGAACUGGAGAGAGCAGGACUUGGAGAAAAAAAAAUGUUCUCUGACAAAUACUGUUGUUCUUCAAUCAGGAACUCGUACGCCAGUUCCCUAAGCGGGGUGAGGGUGGUGGCUUUGAGCUGUUAAAAACGAGAGGCUGCACCAGGACAAAAAUUCUCCAUCCUAUUCCGUGUCCAGAUACAGGUUAUUCCCCUGAAUACCUAUGCUCCGAUGCGGCUGGAAUAGGAGCAGCUACGAUUCAUGUCAGACCUCUUUGGAGAUUGUUGCUUCACUAAACUCCAUUCAUCUCUGUAUUUAGUGCUGUUUGCCUGGGGAUCACAUUCAGACAAUAAUAAUACCAGCUGUAUAUGGGGCCUUUGUUGAAACAAAUGGGUGGGUGAUCUUAUGUAAAAUACACAAAGACUGACCAUGUUGCAUUUACAAAUUACCCAGGAACACAACUAGCAGUCCCCAACAAGAAAGUAGCAACAUGCAAGGCAGCUUUACUUGCAGCAAUACACCAGCAAGUAGUCCCAACACCCUACAUUAUGAGAGCAGCAGCCGAGCAGGAGCAGCAACAGCAUUCCCAUUCUCCAGAGCAGAGCAGGAACAGCAACAGCAUUCCCAUUCUUCAGAGCAGAGAGCAGGAGCAUCAUUUUUAUCAUAUGUGAUCCUGGAGCACAAAACCAGUCAUAAGUCGCACGGGUAUAUUUGUAGCAAUAGCCUACAAUACAUUGUAUAGGUCAGAAUGAUCUAUUUUUCUUUUAUGCCAAAAAUCAUUAGGAUAUUAAGUAAAGAUCAUGUUCCAUGAAGAUAUUUUGUAAAUGUCCUACCGUAAAUAUAUCAAAUGUAUUUUUGUGAGUGGAUAUGCAUUGCUAAGGACUUCAUUUGGACAACUUUAAAGGUGGUUUUCUCACAUUUUGAUUUUUUUUGGACCCUCAGAUUCCAGAUUUUCAAACAGUUGUAUCUCGGUCAAAUAUUGUCCUGUCCUAACAAACCAUCAGUGGACAGCUUUAGUCAGCUUCAUGACUGGUUUUGUGGUUCAGGGCCACAUAUGUCUUCAAAUGCAACUGGGCAAGCUCAUGUCAAAGCAGACAGGAAUAGUGAAGAAAAUGUUCUCAUUGUAUAUUCACCCUUUUUCUGCAGAAUGUGUUAUCUUCGCUCUGUGAGUUCAUGCAGUACCAGUGAAUGGUGACCUAAAACUCUUCAAAAUACAGCGCAUAAAACUGCAGUGCAUUAAUUUAUGAAUUCAGAAAUGAUCAAAUCUGUGAUCUAAAUACGAGGCCAGCAGUCAUAAUUCUGGAUAUACAGUGGUGCUUGAAGCUGACAUCUAUCUAUCUAUCUAUCUAUCUAUCUAUCUAUCUAUCUGUCUAUCUAUCUAUCUAUCUAUCUAUCUAUCUAUCUGUCUAUCUAUCUAUCUAUCUGUCUAUCUAUCUGUCUGUCUAUCUAUGUUGAACGCUGACAACAUGAUUAAUAUUCAUGAAGCUAGCAGCUCAUCAGUCAUUUGUGUGGUUCAUAUUGGUGUUAGUAGUAGAAUUCAUAGUGUUAUUGUCUUUUAAGUUUGGUGGGUAGACAAAAAAAUGACUAGCCAAUAAUGAUUCUACUGCCAAGGUGAUUUGUGUGUCUGUAACUUAUAUUUUCAGAUUGGAAAAUUGAGAGUGAUGAACAGCAAGCAGCACACCAGUUUUGAAGAAACUUAUUACAUGGAGCUGAAGACCGGACACCCCUUCAGGUCACAACAGAUCUAACCAGCAGUGUGUAAGACAGAGAUAGACAGUUUCUGUCAUUCUACGAGUCAAACCCAACUGACUGGGCAUCCCCACUAUCAAUCAACCUUAAAGGUAUGGUUAAAACUAAAUCUGUUUCUUUAAACAUUGGAUUCUUUAUAUGUUAUUUGUACGUAUAAAUAACGAUUUUUAUUGUGUCAGGUGAUGCUGCAGUUGUAACGUGAUACUACUUUGCAAUGCUUAUGUCCAGAAUACAGUACGGCUUCAGUUUAAACAUUGGUAAGUGUGUUUUAUUAAUUUCAUGUUUUUAGUCCUUUUGCUGUGCAGUUGAAAAGCUUUGUCUUAAUUAUUGUGUGAACUAAAUGCCAACUUGUAAAACUUUUUAAGAAAACACUGGAAAAAUGAUGUUCUUCAAUGGAGAAGAUCACUUGGUACCAUCGUCCUCACGAGUUCUUCUGGACAGUGAUCUUUUUAGGGUCAUUGGUCGAAUGAUUGGCCAUUCCUUAAUUCAUGGAGGGCCACUCUUGACAGAGUGAACGAUCUUGCUUUUAGCUGGGACUUGCCAACAUUAACUAGAGAAAACCGGAAGUGGCUUGCAGAAACCGUUCUUCAGCAUGAGGUUAUCGAUCGCAGAGAGAAGCAGAUGAAGCAAAUCAAACGAGGUCUGAAGGAUACUGGGGUCCUGCUCAUGAUGAAAGAACGGCCUUCUCUCAUCACAGUGCUGUUCCCAAAAUCAUCCUUCCUGAACUAAUGGAUUGUUUAUGGCUCUGAAAACAUGCGAUCGUUAACCAGACUUCCCAUUUCCUAAAAACCUGAGCAUUUAUGCUGUUUUCUUUGUCCAUAGAUGGUUUAGAAAGAGUUAUAUGGCCAAUGAUGAAGAUGAAGAUGAGGAUGAUCACGAGGUUCCUCUGGAGUUGAAACGCCAGAUGGCGUCGUACCUCAGGAAGUACAUCGAAAGUGCUACAGCACUGGAUAUGGAGCAGGGUCGGGCAAUCCUCCCACAACAUCUCUAUGUGGAAGUGUCUGACUCCAUUAAAGUGAGAAAAUGAAGCUGCCUUCUCACGACACUCACUACAUGGACUUUCAGGCAGACUUAAAGCAGCAGUGUCCACAAGAGAACGUGGAUUUGGAUUAGUUUAAUCAUAUGGUGUGUUCCUGGGCUUUUUAAAUGAAGAGGCUAGUCCUCAACUGUUAGCCAGUGUGCUUUUGAUAGGACUGUUUAUUGAGAGAGAAAAAAUGUUAUUCAAAUGAAACUAAAUACUAGAUUUUAUAACUUCAUGUUCAUUUUUUCAUUUGUAGCAAGUUACAUAAUGUGUAACUUAAAGUUGAAAUUUGAUGUAAAAAAGUUUUUAAAGUUUGUACAAAUAUUAAAGUACUAUUCAUUUGUUUAAUCAAAUGUAAUUAGCAGCCAGUGCAUCAGGAAAACAUGUAUUUGCUCAUCAAUAAACAAACUGGAUUCAAGGA